UAAUUCUCUAGUGGCGCACGGGUGAGUAACACGUGAGUAACCUGCCCCCGAGAGCGGGAUAGCCCUGGGAAACUGGGAUUAAUACCGCAUAGUAUCGAAAGAUUAAAGCAGCAAUGCGCUUGGGGAUGGGCUCGCGGCCUAUUAGUUAGUUGGUGAGGUAACGGCUCACCGAGGCGAUGACGGGUAGCCGGUCUGAGAGGAUGUCCGGCCACACUGGAACUGAGACACGGUCCAGACACCUACGGGUGGCAGCAGUCGAGAAUCAUUCACAAUGGGGGAAACCCUGAUGGUGCGACGCCGCGUGGGGGAAUGAAGGUCUUCGGAUUGUAAACCCCUGUCAUGUGGGAGCAAAUUAAAAAGAUAGUACCACAAGAGGAAGAGACGGCUAACUCUGUGCCAGCAGCCGCGGUAAUACAGAGGUCUCAAGCGUUGUUCGGAAUCACUGGGCGUAAAGCGUGCGUAGGCUGUUUCGUAAGUCGUGUGUGAAAGGCGCGGGCUCAACCCGCGGACGGCACAUGAUACUGCGAGACUAGAGUAAUGGAGGGGGAACCGGAAUUCUCGGUGUAGCAGUGAAAUGCGUAGAUAUCGAGAGGAACACUCGUGGCGAAGGCGGGUUCCUGGACAUUAACUGACGCUGAGACACGAAGGCCAGGGGAGCGAAAGGGAUUAGAUACCCCUGUAGUCCUGGCAGUAAACGGUGCAC
Molecule: ribosomal RNA, 703 nt
Filed under: uncultured bacterium
Lineage: Bacteria
Description: bacterial SSU rRNA
Rfam family: Bacterial small subunit ribosomal RNA
Source: RNAcentral